This 163-nucleotide ribosomal RNA is filed under the name Eugeissona tristis. RNAcentral describes it as "5.8S ribosomal RNA". It matches the Rfam family "5.8S ribosomal RNA". Rfam says of the family: 5.8S ribosomal RNA (5.8S rRNA) is a component of the large subunit of the eukaryotic ribosome. Lineage: Eukaryota; Viridiplantae; Streptophyta; Magnoliopsida; Arecales; Arecaceae. The record is from RNAcentral.
GGUACGACUCUCGGUAAUGGAUAUCUUAGCUCUCGCAUUGAUGAAGAACAUAGAAAAUUGUGAUAUGUGGUGUGAAUUGUAGAAUCCCAUGAACCAUCAAGUCUUCGAAUGCAAGUUGUGCCUGAGGCCAUUUGGCUGAGGGCACGCUGCCUGGGCAUCACUC